This 224-nucleotide unclassified non-coding RNA is filed under the name Hevea brasiliensis (rubber tree). Lineage: Eukaryota; Viridiplantae; Streptophyta; Magnoliopsida; Malpighiales; Euphorbiaceae. The record is from RNAcentral.
GGGAGGGGUAAUCCCUUUUCCCUUAAUCCUGCCUGGGAAGAAGAGAUUGACGAUUUAGCUCUAAGAGCAAAUUCUAAUGAUCUCGACGUAAAUUCAAAGUCAAGGCCUUGCUCUUAAACUAUCACCCUGAAAGAAGAUACCCAAGUUUGGUGAUACUUGAAUUUUUUCCCUUGUCCUAACUGGCCAGUCAGUAUUUGGUGGUUUCAGAGUGAGUUCGUUGAAAC